AAAAAUGAAGGGUAAGUUUUGGGGUAUUACAGAUAACAAAAGACCUUAAGGCUUUUGGACCAAUCAAACCACUCACUCAUUUUGAGAUUUUUACCCCGAACUACGAGGUUUUGAUCCUAAUCUUUUUUAAGAUGGUACGUAGGCAAUGGGUUCAUCCAUUCAAACACAAAAUGUAAAUAAACUUGUAUAUUCUUUUCUCAUCUCUUCAAUCAUGUUUGCACAAAUAAAUUUUCACAAAAAUACCAACCUUACAACAAAUGUGAAAAGGGCUCCCU
Molecule: long non-coding RNA, 275 nt
Filed under: Lathyrus oleraceus (garden pea)
Lineage: Eukaryota; Viridiplantae; Streptophyta; Magnoliopsida; Fabales; Fabaceae
Description: Pisum sativum (pea) long non-coding RNA (PSAT_LNC013483)
Source: RNAcentral